GUGCUCACUUAGGCAGCACAUAUACUAAAACUGGAACGAUACAAAGCAGGUUAGUAUGGCCCCUGCACAAAGAUGACAUGCAAAUUCAUGAAACAUUCCAUAGUUUG
Small nuclear RNA from Ictidomys tridecemlineatus (thirteen-lined ground squirrel), 107 nucleotides. Lineage: Eukaryota; Metazoa; Chordata; Mammalia; Rodentia; Sciuridae. The record is from Ensembl.